GACGAACGCUGGCGGCGUGCUUAACACAUGCAAGUCGAACGAAGAGCGAUGGAAGCUUGCUUCUAUCAAUCUUAGUGGCGAACGGGUGAGUAACGCGUAAUCAACCUGCCCUUCAGAGGGGGACAACAGUUGGAAACGACUGCUAAUACCGCAUACGAUCUAAACUCGGCAUCGAGGAUAGAUGAAAGGUGGCCUCUACAUGUAAGCUAUCACUGAAGGAGGGGAUUGCGUCUGAUUAGCUAGUUGGAGGGGUAACGGCCCACCAAGGCGAUGAUCAGUAGCCGGUCUGAGAGGAUGAACGGCCACAUUGGGACUGAGACACGGCCCAGACUCCUACGGGAGGCAGCAGUGGGGAAUCUUCCGCAAUGGACGAAAGUCUGACGGAGCAACGCCGCGGGAGUGAUGACGGCCUUCGGGUUGUAAAGCUCUGUUAAUCGGGACGAAAGGCCUUCUUGCGAAUAGGGAGAAGGAUUGACGGUACCGGAAGAGAAAGCCACGGCUAACUACGUG
This 510-nucleotide ribosomal RNA is filed under the name uncultured bacterium. RNAcentral's name for it is "partial 16S ribosomal RNA". It matches the Rfam family "Bacterial small subunit ribosomal RNA", at positions 28 to 507 of the family's 1533-position model. The record is from RNAcentral.